Molecule: long non-coding RNA, 2636 nt
Organism: Monopterus albus (swamp eel)
Lineage: Eukaryota; Metazoa; Chordata; Actinopteri; Synbranchiformes; Synbranchidae
Exons: 3
Source: RefSeq, a predicted model, not a curated record
UCAUGUGUAACUUGCCUCUAACUCGCUCAUCUCUCUGCGCUAUAGAGUCGCAAUGUUUACUACCUGGAAUGCACAGACGUGAUUGGCUGAGUAGUAUCAUGUGGGAUAGCUUAACUCGCAUGCAAUUGGUCUGUGCGUUUCCUCAUCCACUAAACCACUACUGUAAAGGCUAAAAGAGCUGCGCCGAUUAAAAUAGAAACGCCCCGUCAGGUUUAAAUCAUAACGUUAUGUUUUGGCUGUAGGUCCAGGUCCGUAUGGGACAGCUUUUGGGUCCGGACCCGGAGCGUGGUCCGCCUGUUAGUGACUUCUGGUCUAGACUGUAUCUUGGUCUACCUCUCUGACACUAGUCAGGCUGUCAGUGUGACCCAGCAGGGAUCCAGAGGAAGGAUCACUUUCAGCUGACUAAUGGAGGAUUUGGCUGCAGCCUGAGAAACUGAAGAAACGUAGCUCUUAGCCAUUUUGCUUCAGCACUGCCAGCUUUUAUCUGUGCAUGUCAAGUCGGUUUUUAUGUGUAGAGCCCCACAUCACAUAGAAGCCAGUUAGUGCCACGAAUCCGAGCUUUGUCGUUACCAGCUUGGUUUGACGAUGCUUUUGUUCAUGUGCAACUCAGCAGAAUACUGAACACUGUGAUCAGCUGUUUGUCACUGAACCCUCCUUCCACUGAAACCUCCCUUCCGGAACUCUCUCCAGCUUUUAGUGCAGCCAUUCAGAACAUCACGUUCAAUUUGGGAUGAAAAUGCACCAUAUGAACUAGUCUGAGUCCUUGAGUUUCUGUAUCUGGCAUGUGAAUCAAAGAACCACGUAUUCUGUGAAGCGGCUGCUCGUGUUCUGUUCUGAGGAGCUGCAGCUGCCAGCAGUGAACUGGAUCUCUACCUCUGAAACAGCUCUGCUCUGGGAGGUACCACAGAGGAUCAGCCUUCAAGCAGCCGCCCUUGGUGAAAUAAAUGUGCAUUUAUUUUAAACCAGUAAAAUGCACAGUCAUGGUCAAAGAAUGAGGAGCCAGUUGGUUUCCUAUAAGCCAGAGCUGCACUCGCAGCGCUCACAUUACUUUCUACUGGUUUAACCAUUCUGUGAAGAAACCGAUGGAAGAAAAAAGAUUUCCCAUCACGUCAACUGCGGCAGCACUAAUGCAACAGAGAGAGGAGACGGUGUCUUCCCACUGUGGGACAUACAUACAAUCUGACAAGGAGAAGAGAGAUUCAAAUCAGAAACAGCUGAACCGUCUGUUUUGUCUUUGUCUACCGCCUCCACCUGGAUUCACACAGGCAUCCACCUGACUGCUGAGUCACUGCACUCUGUUUGUGCAGCUGAACACUCCCCAGGUGGCUCUCAUCCUCCCGCCUCAAAGAGGACGCAGCCUCAUAUCAGUGCUCUGGAAACUGCAUCUCUUUAUCACUGUGUCAUGAUAGUAAUGUCAUUUAGCAGCCAAUCAUGAAGUCCUUGUGAUUCCUGCAGCUAGUCCAAGUUUAUGUAGGUUAGGUCCAUGUGACGUUGUCAAAAUCACCAACAAUUACAUACUUCUCUUGUUAAUUUCAACAGAUAUCAUUUCUCAUAUAUUGCAGCAAAAAGGAUGUGCCUCUGUGUUAGCCUCCACUGGAAGCAGGAGUGUGUGCGUUGUGCAGGUUAGGGCUGACCCCGAAUCGCAUGAUGAUGGCAAAAGUUUGGAUUAUCACACAUUCAGGGAAAGUAACGUACAACCCUAGUGCAGCUCAGAGAAGGCUGCUCCGGUGUCUGGCUCAGAAGUUGUUUUGCUGACUUCGUGGACAGUCAGCGCUGGAGCGGAGAGCAUCACUACGGCCGCCAGAUACCGGCCACGCUGCCCUGUAUUUACAUUAUAUUUCCAAAAAAAGUGACCAACAAAAUGCAAGUCAACUCAGGUUGUAAUUGAUUUAUAGGGAGCAGCUCUAGUACAGACUGACAUCUGCUGCUCGUGAGCACCUGGCACCUGAACCGACAGCUGAGGAGCUUUAAAAUAAAAGGCACAGUGUGAAGGACAGACGGAACUCUUCCACAGCAGCCUGACAAAGCAGCUCUGGGAUCAGCUGCUGCUUCAACACAGUGAAUGAGCUCAGGUAGUUGGAAGAUAUUCAAAGCAGAACCUGAUUUUGUGCCAAAGAUGGUCUCCUUAAUCUGAUACGUGUGGUGCACGUCGAGCUGUCAGUGCAUAUAGCCUCCUCACCCAACUAUGAAAUGUAAGAAUCAAGCUCUUUGACUCUUUUUCACUGUAGCAGCACUAACAAGCCUAAGUGUGAGGAAACAACAAAUCAAAGAAAGGGUGGGGCGCAUCUGGUCACAUAUAGUGUGUUUAAAUAACCCAGAGUGCAUUUGCUGGGGCAUGGUUUAUUUCAUGGCGUGGAUGCUUUUGUUUUGCAAUGAAGCAGUUGACUUCCGGUUUUGAGCCGUGCACUUUUGUUUUGAGUGCACGCUUCCUGUGUAGUGUUUAGGGUGAUGUAGCUUACUGUACGAAGCUGACUGAGAUGGAGUACUCUUGGACAUUAGUUUCAUACUGGCAGCCCCUCUGAAAGAGGCACAAGCUCUUAUAGUCGAGGAUGGUGUAUGUAAAGCAUAAGGUUCACAAAAGGAAUAAAACACCAAAAUCACCAGUAAAGUACCAAAAUCACCAGUAAAGUGCCAUC